AAGAGACAGCAGCCGCCACGGUAAGACAGAGGGUGCAAGCGUUAAUCGGAAUUACUGGGCGUAAAGCGCGCGUAGGUGGUUCGCCAAGUUGGAUGUGAAAUCCCCGGGCUCAACCUGGGAACUGCAUCCAAAACUGGCGAGCUAGAGUAUGGUAAAGGGUGGUGGAAUUUCCUGUGUAGCGGUGAAAUGCGUAGAUAUAGGAAGGAACAUCAGUGGCGAGGGCGACCACCUGGACUGAUACUGACACUGAGGUGCGAGAGCGUGGGGAGCAAACAGGAUUAGAGACCCCAGUAGUCCCUGUCUCUUAUAC
RNAcentral lists this ribosomal RNA (310 nucleotides) under uncultured bacterium. RNAcentral's name for it is "partial 16S ribosomal RNA". It matches the Rfam family "Bacterial small subunit ribosomal RNA", at positions 503 to 807 of the family's 1533-position model. The record is from RNAcentral.